Molecule: long non-coding RNA, 149 nt
Organism: Bombus impatiens (common eastern bumble bee)
Lineage: Eukaryota; Metazoa; Arthropoda; Insecta; Hymenoptera; Apidae
Exons: 3
Source: RefSeq, a predicted model, not a curated record
UAAUUUACUUUUAUAUAAUUAUUUAUCAUUAUUUGAUUCUGCACUUUAAACGAUGCCUCGAUUCAAAUUUAGAUAUUUUCUAGUCCAGCUUUUUGACUAUACUUUGUGUAAUAUACCUCAAAUUUUUGGAUCUCUCGCAAAUUGUUCUU